AGCGAACGCUGGCGGCAGGCCUAACACAUGCAAGUCGAACGAACUCUUCGUAGUUACUUGCUGACAGGUGUGGAACGCGUCGGACCGGUCCGUUAGGCUCCGGAUACCACAGUUAAACGUGUGCUAACGCCGGAUGAGUCCCGCUGGUACAAGAUACAUCGCCCUUGGAGCGGCCCGCGUCCUUUUGACUAGUUGGGGAGGUAAGGGCUCAUCAAGGCUACGCUCGGUAGCUGGGCUGAGAGGAUGACCAGCCACACUGGGGCUGUGACCCGGCCCAGACUCCUACGGGAUGGAGGCGAGGCGAAUCUAGCGCAAUCGGCGAAAGCCUGACGCAGCCAUGCCGCGUGAAUGCUGAAGUUCUGAGGAUUGUGAAAUUCUUUAACCGGGGGCGAUAAUGACGGUACCCGGAGAAGAAGCCCCGGCUAACUUCGUG
Molecule: ribosomal RNA, 433 nt
Filed under: uncultured bacterium
Lineage: Bacteria
Description: partial 16S ribosomal RNA
Rfam family: Bacterial small subunit ribosomal RNA
Source: RNAcentral